This 2425-nucleotide ribosomal RNA is filed under the name Listeria monocytogenes. RNAcentral's name for it is "partial 23S ribosomal RNA". It matches the Rfam family "Bacterial large subunit ribosomal RNA", at positions 360 to 2783 of the family's 2925-position model. Lineage: Bacteria; Bacillati; Bacillota; Bacilli; Caryophanales; Listeriaceae. The record is from RNAcentral.
GACGGUAACAGCCCGGUAGUUGAAAUGGCUUUCCCUCCAGAGUGGAUCCUGAGUACGGCGGAACACGUGAAAUUCCGUCGGAAUCCGGGAGGACCAUCUCCCAAGGCUAAAUACUCCCUAGUGACCGAUAGUGAACCAGUACCGUGAGGGAAAGGUGAAAAGCACCCCGGAAGGGGAGUGAAACAGUUCCUGAAACCGUGUGCCUACAAGUAGUUAGAGCCCGUUAAUGGGUGAUAGCGUGCCUUUUGUAGAAUGAACCGGCGAGUUACGAUUUGUUGCAAGGUUAAGCGGAAAAAGCGGAGCCGUAGCGAAAGCGAGUCUGAAUAGGGCGCAUAAGUAACAGGUCGUAGACCCGAAACCAGGUGAUCUACCCAUGUCCAGGAUGAAGGUAAGGUAAUACUUACUGGAGGUCCGAACCCACGCACGUUGAAAAGUGCGGGGAUGAGGUGUGGGUAGCGGAGAAAUUCCAAUCGAACUUGGAGAUAGCUGGUUCUCUCCGAAAUAGCUUUAGGGCUAGCCUCGAGGUAAAGAGUCAUGGAGGUAGAGCACUGUUUGGACUAGGGGCCCUUCUCGGGUUACCGAAUUCAGAUAAACUCCGAAUGCCAUGUACUUAUACUCGGGAGUCAGACUGCGAGUGAUAAGAUCCGUAGUCGAAAGGGAAACAGCCCAGACCACCAGUUAAGGUCCCCAAAUAUAUGUUAAGUGGAAAAGGAUGUGGGGUUGCUUAGACAACCAGGAUGUUGGCUUAGAAGCAGCCACCAUUGAAAGAGUGCGUAAUAGCUCACUGGUCGAGUGACCCCGCGCCGAAAAUGUACCGGGGCUAAACAUAUUACCGAAACUGUGGAUGAACCUCUUUAGAGGUUCGUGGUAGGAGAGCGUUCUAAGGGCGGUGAAGUCAGACCGGAAGGACUGGUGGAGCGCUUAGAAGUGAGAAUGCCGGUAUGAGUAGCGAAAGAAGGGUGAGAAUCCCUUCCACCGAAUAUCUAAGGUUUCCUGAGGAAGGCUCGUCCGCUCAGGGUUAGUCGGGACCUAAGCCGAGGCCGAUAGGCGUAGGCGAUGGACAACAGGUAGAGAUUCCUGUACCAGUGCUAAUUGUUUAACCGAUGGGGUGACACAGAAGGAUAGGGAAUCGCACGAAUGGAAAUGUGCGUCCAAGCAGUGAGUGUGAGAAGUAGGCAAAUCCGCUUCUCGCGAAGCAUGAGCUGUGAUGGGGAAGGAAAUUAAGUACGGAAGUUCCUGAUUUCACGCUGUCAAGAAAAGCCUCUAGGAAGAGUAGUACUGCCCGUACCGCAAACCGACACAGGUAGAUGAGGAGAGAAUCCUAAGGUGAGCGAGAGAACUCUCGUUAAGGAACUCGGCAAAAUGACCCCGUAACUUCGGGAGAAGGGGUGCUCUAUUAGGGUGCAAGCCCGAGAGAGCCGCAGUGAAUAGGCCCAGGCGACUGUUUAGCAAAAACACAGGUCUCUGCAAAACCGUAAGGUGACGUAUAGGGGCUGACGCCUGCCCGGUGCUGGAAGGUUAAGAGGAGUGCUUAGCUUCGGCGAAGGUACGAAUUGAAGCCCCAGUAAACGGCGGCCGUAACUAUAACGGUCCUAAGGUAGCGAAAUUCCUUGUCGGGUAAGUUCCGACCCGCACGAAAGGCGCAACGAUCUGGGCACUGUCUCAACGAGAGACUCGGUGAAAUUAUAGUACCUGUGAAGAUGCAGGUUACCCGCGACAGGACGGAAAGACCCCGUGGAGCUUUACUGCAACCUGAUAUGGAAUGUUUGUACCGCUUGUACAGGAUAGGUAGGAGCCGAAGAGACGUGUGCGCUAGCAUACGAGGAGGCAAUGGUGGGAUACUACCCUGGCUGUAUGACCAUUCUAACCCGCCACGCUUAGCGCGUGGGGAGACAGUGUCAGGUGGGCAGUUUGACUGGGGCGGUCGCCUCCUAAAGAGUAACGGAGGCGCCCAAAGGUUCCCUCAGAAUGGAUGGAAAUCAUUCGCAGAGUGUAAAGGCACAAGGGAGCUUGACUGCGAGACUGACAAGUCGAGCAGGGACGAAAGUCGGGCUUAGUGAUCCGGUGGUUCCGCAUGGAAGGGCCAUCGCUCAACGGAUAAAAGCUACCCCGGGGAUAACAGGCUUAUCUCCCCCAAGAGUCCACAUCGACGGGGAGGUUUGGCACCUCGAUGUCGGCUCGUCGCAUCCUGGGGCUGUAGUCGGUCCCAAGGGUUGGGCUGUUCGCCCAUUAAAGCGGCACGCGAGCUGGGUUCAGAACGUCGUGAGACAGUUCGGUCCCUAUCCGUCGCGGGCGCAGGAAAUUUGAGAGGAGCUGUCCUUAGUACGAGAGGACCGGGAUGGACACACCGCUGGUGUACCAGUUGUUCCGCCAGGAGCAUCGCUGGGUAGCUAUGUGUGGCAGGGAUAAACGCUGAAAGCAUCUA